AUUGAACGCUGGCGGCAUGCCUUACACAUGCAAGUCGAACGGUAACGGGCCUUCGGGUGCCGACGAGUGGCCCACGGGUGAGUAAUACAUCGGAACGUGCCCGAUCGUGGGGGAUAACGAGGCGAAAGCUUUGCUAAUACCGCAUUCGAUCUACGGAUGAAAGCAGGGGACCGCAAGGCCUUGCGCGGACGGAGCGGCCGAUGGCAGAUUAGGUAGUUGGUGGGAUAAAAGCUUACCAAGCCGACGAUCUGUAGCUGGUCUGAGAGGAUGAUCAGCCACACUGGGACUGAGACACGGCCCAGACUCCUACGGGAGGCAGCAGUGGGGAAUUUUGGACAAUGGGCGCAAGCCUGAUCCAGCCAUGCCGCGUGCAGGAUGAAGGCCUUCGGGUUGUAAACUGCUUUUGUACGGAACGAAAAGCCUUCUUUUAAUACAGGAGGGUCAUGACGGUACCGUAAGAAUAAGCACCGGCUAACUACGUG
Molecule: ribosomal RNA, 482 nt
Filed under: uncultured bacterium
Lineage: Bacteria
Description: partial 16S ribosomal RNA
Rfam family: Bacterial small subunit ribosomal RNA
Source: RNAcentral